UUGACCUCGAAUCGGGUAGGGAUACCCGCUGAACUUAAGCAUAUCA
RNAcentral lists this ribosomal RNA (46 nucleotides) under Leptogium saturninum. RNAcentral describes it as "partial 28S ribosomal RNA". The record is from RNAcentral. Lineage: Eukaryota; Fungi; Ascomycota; Lecanoromycetes; Peltigerales; Collemataceae.